UACACUCAACUGUAGCCCUUCUUUUCAG
Molecule: non-coding RNA, 28 nt
Filed under: Cricetulus griseus (Chinese hamster)
Lineage: Eukaryota; Metazoa; Chordata; Mammalia; Rodentia; Cricetidae
Source: RNAcentral